This 432-nucleotide ribosomal RNA is filed under the name Triticum aestivum (bread wheat). RNAcentral's name for it is "partial small subunit ribosomal RNA". Lineage: Eukaryota; Viridiplantae; Streptophyta; Magnoliopsida; Poales; Poaceae. The record is from RNAcentral.
AUGUGGUAUGCUCCUAUAAUACCACGGUUGAAACGUCUGUUCAGAAACGAAGAGCAUGCCAAGUUGAUGCGAUGGCACAGUGAGGACCGUAAGAAAGACGGGAAGUUGAGAGCACCCGCUGACGGGUCGCAGUGGAGAAAAAUUGAGAGAAAGUACUGGGCGGAGUUUGCAGCUGACCCAAGGAACGGAUGGUUUGGUUUAAGCGCGGAUGGCAUUAAUCCUUUCGGGGAGCAGAGCAGCAAUCACAGCACCUGGCCCGUGACUCUAUGUAUGUAUAACCUUCCUCCUUGGAUGUGCAUGAAGCGGAAGUUCAUUAUGAUGCCAGUUCUCAUCCAAGGCCCUAAGCAACCCGGCAACGACAUUGAUGUGUACCUAAGGCCAUUAGUUGAAGAACUUUUACAGCUGUGGAAUGGAAACGGUGUACGUACAUAG